AGCCAGUGAUGAACUACUAAAACUUCUGACACCUCGUAUGAAAACUGCAGUUCUGUUGCAGUAAUUGAUUAUACUCUUGGUCUGAGGCUC
RNAcentral lists this small nucleolar RNA (90 nucleotides) under Sphenodon punctatus (tuatara). Its description in RNAcentral is "Small nucleolar RNA SNORD60 (ENSSPUG00000011532.1)". It matches the Rfam family "Small nucleolar RNA SNORD60". Rfam says of the family: U60 belongs to the C/D class of snoRNA which contain the C (UGAUGA) and D (CUGA) box motifs. Most of the members of the box C/D family function in directing site-specific 2'-O-methylation of substrate RNAs. The record is from Rfam by way of RNAcentral. Lineage: Eukaryota; Metazoa; Chordata; Lepidosauria; Sphenodontia; Sphenodontidae.